CAGCCGCCGCGGUAAUACCGGCGGCCCGAGUGGCGGUCACUAUUAUUGGGCUUAAAGCGUCCGUAGCCGGGUUGGGAAGUCCUCCGGGAAAUCUGGCCGCUUAACGGUCAGAAUGCCGGAGGAUACUCCCAGCCUAGGGAGCGGGAGAGGCCGAGGGGAUUCCCGGAGUAGGGGGGAAAUCCUAUAAUCCCGGGAGGACCACCUGUGGCGAAGGCGCUCGGCUGGAACGCGUCCGACGGUGAGGGACGAAGGCCAGGGGAGCAAACCGGAUUAGAUACCCGGGUAGUCCUGGCUGUAAACGAUGCGGGCUAGCUGUUGGGCGGGCUUAGAGCCCGCCCAGUGGCGCAGGGAAGCCGUUAAGUCCGCCGCCUGGGGAGUACGGCCGCAAGGCUGAAACUUAAAGGAAUUGGCGGG
Molecule: ribosomal RNA, 414 nt
Filed under: uncultured microorganism
Description: bacterial SSU rRNA
Rfam family: Archaeal small subunit ribosomal RNA
Source: RNAcentral